CCUACGGGGGGCAGCAGUGGGGAAUAUUGUGCAAUGGGCGAAAGCCUGACGCAGCGACGCCGCGUGAGGGAUGAAGGUCUUCGGAUCGUAAACCUCUGUCAGCAGGGAAGAACGGUCACUGUGCUAAUCAGCAGUGAAUUGACGGUACCUGCAAAGGAAGCACCGGCUAACUCCGUGCCAGCAGCCGCGGUAAUACGGAGGGUGCGAGCGUUAAUCGGAAUUACUGGGCGUAAAGCGCGCGUAGGCGGUAUGUCAAGUCAAGGGUGAAAUCCCCGCGCUCAACGUGGGAACUGCCUUUGAAACUGGCAAACUGGAGUGUGUGAGAGGAUAGUGGAAUUCCAGGUGUAGGAGUGAAAGCCGUAGAUAUCUGGAGGAACAUCAGUGGCGAAGGCGACUAUCUGGCACAUAACUGACGCUGAGGAGCGAAAGCGUGGGUAGCAAACAGGAUUAGAUACCCUAGUAGUC
Molecule: ribosomal RNA, 465 nt
Filed under: uncultured bacterium
Lineage: Bacteria
Description: partial 16S ribosomal RNA
Rfam family: Bacterial small subunit ribosomal RNA
Source: RNAcentral